UCAGGAUGAACGCUAGCGGCAGGCUUAACACAUGCAAGUCGAGGGGCAACGCGAGUAGCAAUACUUGGCGGCGACCGGCGCAAGGGUGCGUAACGCGUGAGCAACAUGCCCGUAUCAGGGGGAUAAUCCAGGGAAACUUGGUCUAAUACCCCAUAGUAAUUUUGUAAGGCAUCUUAUAAGAUUUAAAGCUUUGGUGGAUACGGAUUGGCUCGCGUGACAUUAGCUGGAUGGUAAGGUAACGGCUUACCAUGGCUAUGAUGUCUAGGGGUUCUGAGAGGAAGGUCCCCCACACUGGAACUGAGACACGGUCCAGACUCCUACGGGAGGCAGCAGUGAGGAAUAUUGGACAAUGGAUGGAAAUCUGAUCCAGCCAUGCCGCGUGAAAAGGAAGAAGGUCCUAUGGAUUGUAAACUUCUUUUGUAUGGGAGCAAUAAGGCCUACGUGUAGGUUGAUGAGAGUACCAUACGAAUAAGCACCGGCUAACUCCGUGCCAGCCGCCGC
This 501-nucleotide ribosomal RNA is filed under the name uncultured bacterium. RNAcentral's name for it is "bacterial SSU rRNA". It matches the Rfam family "Bacterial small subunit ribosomal RNA", at positions 24 to 518 of the family's 1533-position model. The record is from RNAcentral.